RNAcentral lists this long non-coding RNA (298 nucleotides) under Bos taurus (domestic cattle). RNAcentral's name for it is "long non-coding RNA NONBTAT013951". The record is from RNAcentral. Lineage: Eukaryota; Metazoa; Chordata; Mammalia; Artiodactyla; Bovidae.
GUGUUUAUUAUGGAUAAUACUGAAUAUAAUCAAAUGUAAAUAGAAGCAUGAGAAGAAACCCAAGGAAACCCAUGCAUCCUUCAUUCAGAUUCCUUCUCCACUAAUCAUUAAUGACAUGACUUUGAACAAAUUACCCAAACCCAAUGAAUUAUCUUCAUCUGUUGUAUGGCAGUAAAAUGCUCUCAUGUUUUGCUUAAUUUGAGACUUAGACAAAAAUGAAAAUAUUACACUAAAAACAACUGGCACACAACCUGGUGCUUAAUAAAAGUUGAUGGCAGUGCUAUUAUUGUUCUUAUCC